AUAUGCCACUUUUUCCCUUCAGAAUCAGUGAAUCUCACUCGCCCUCUGAAUUCUAUUUUGAUUGGAGGAUUAAACAAGAACUUCCUUUUAUUGACAAAGCAUAUGAUAAACGAGGCCUUUCGUCAGUGUUUUACUUAUUCCCAUUAUGUGUAGAACAUUCGAAAUAGGAAAACCGUAAUUCCUCAGAAUGCAGAAAAGGUAAUUUGGGGUUCUAGUUCAGUUUAUUGAGAUGCUUAUGAAUAUCAAGGUGAAUUUCUAGAAUCAGGGAAAAUAUGGAAAGAACCAAAGCAUGAAGGGUUACUUGCGGAUUCCUUGAUUAUCAAUUCAGGAGAGGAUGUUGGAGAAAAAGUUCUGUCUUAUUUUCGGAACAGCACCACUAAUUCUGUAAGUUCCCAUGGUCGCACGCAGACGGGCAUUAUCUUGUCAGCUACUGGUUCAGUUUUGCACCCGAUAAUGGAUACAGAAAAUUCAUCAGCUUCAGAUAAGGGUUCAUUUUCAAUAAUAAAGCUUGGGGGGAAAUAUAUUAUAUCUGAAGAUGGUCAAGUUCAGCAAGAAGGACCACUGACUAUACUCUGUGCUGGUUCAUCUGGUGUUGCUGUUGGAGGUCGAGUUAAUGGUCGUCUGGUUGCAGUGGACCUGGUCCAGGUUCUGGUGGGUCGUUUCUGCGCAUAAACCAAGAGAAGGUGAAGCGAAAAUUUGAAGAGCUGCAAGCACCUCUUGUUUUGCUAGUUUUGUUUCUCCAUCAACAUCUGUGCUUUCUAUUCUUCUUUCGUUAUACUUUGAAACAAAAAAUGGAUUGGUUACCUUUCAUGGUGGUUUCUCUUGACAUUGACCAGGAUAGUGCAACUAAAAAGCUUAAUAUUGUUUAUUGAUGGAAAACCUUAAAACUUCUUUUGGAUGAUCUUCUGUA
This is a long non-coding RNA of Nicotiana tabacum (common tobacco), 910 nucleotides long. RefSeq lists it as uncharacterized. The record is from RefSeq and is a predicted model, not a curated record. NCBI's taxonomy places the organism in Eukaryota, Viridiplantae, Streptophyta, Magnoliopsida, Solanales, Solanaceae.